GUUGGCCAGGACUCCUUCCCGAGGUGGACGGCUCCCUGCUCUCAUUCCUGGCUCUGCCAGGACUGUAGAAGUGCGCAGUACACUUUAGGGCAUGCAUGGCACUCCGUGGGAGACAGUGCUUUAGGGCUAGAGGAAAGAUCUCCCCUGAAGGCAAACGCCCGCGGAGCCCACAAGUCCGGGCCGCACUGAACAAGUCAGGAUGUUGCCAUCGGCAAUUCUGCAGAAGGCAGGAACCCAUCAGAGAGAGAGCCUCUGUCAUAAGGGCCCUUCUAGCCCAAUCCAGAGCUGUGCCAUGGCAGAGACAAGAGAAGAGGAGACAGUGUCAGCAGAAGCCUCAGGGUUCUCAGACUUGAGUGACUCAGAGUUCCUGG
This 371-nucleotide small RNA is filed under the name Pongo abelii (Sumatran orangutan). Its description in RNAcentral is "processed transcript". Lineage: Eukaryota; Metazoa; Chordata; Mammalia; Primates; Hominidae. The record is from RNAcentral.